GAUGAACGCUGGCGGCGUGCCUAAUACAUGCAAGUCGAGCGAACAGACGAGGGGCUUGCUCCACGGACGUUAGCGGCGGACGGGUGGGUAACACGUGGAUAACCCACCUAUAAGACUGGGAUAACUUCGGGAAACCGGAGCUAAUACCGGAUAAUAUAUUUAACCGCAUGGUUCAAUAGUGAAAGACGGUUUUGCUGUCACUUAUAGAUGGAUCCGCGCCGCAUUAGCUAGUUGGUAAGGUAACGGCUUACCACGGCGACGAUGCGUAGCCGACAUGAGAGGGUGAUCGGCUACACUGGAAGUGAGAGGCGGUCCAGACUCCUAAGGGAGGCAGCAGUAGGGAAUCUGCCGCCAUGGGCGAGGGCCUGACGGGGCAACGCCGCGUGGGUGCUGAAGGUCUUCGGAUCGUAAGACUCUGUUAUUAGGGAAGAACAAAUGUGUAAGUAACUAUGCACGUCUUGACGGUACCUACUCAGAAAGCCACGGCUAGCUACGUG
This 497-nucleotide ribosomal RNA is filed under the name uncultured bacterium. RNAcentral describes it as "partial 16S ribosomal RNA". It matches the Rfam family "Bacterial small subunit ribosomal RNA", at positions 28 to 507 of the family's 1533-position model. The record is from RNAcentral.